CACGGGGGGGGUAAGCGUUGUUCGGAAUUACUGGGCGUAAAGGGCUCGUAGGCGGCCAACUAAGUCAUACGUGAAAUCCCUCAGCUUAACUGGGGAACUGCGUGUGAUACUGGAUGGCUUGGAUUUGGGAGAGGGAUGCGGAAUUCCAGGUGUAGCGGUGAAAUGCGUAGAUAUCUGGAGGAACACCGGUGGCGAAGGCGGCAUCCUGGACCAAUAUUGACGCUGAGGAGCGAAAGCCAGGGGAGCAAACGGG
RNAcentral lists this ribosomal RNA (253 nucleotides) under uncultured bacterium. Its description in RNAcentral is "partial 16S ribosomal RNA". It matches the Rfam family "Bacterial small subunit ribosomal RNA", at positions 524 to 776 of the family's 1533-position model. The record is from RNAcentral.